This 39-nucleotide transfer RNA is filed under the name Opuntia rufida. Its description in RNAcentral is "partial tRNA-Phe". The record is from RNAcentral. Lineage: Eukaryota; Viridiplantae; Streptophyta; Magnoliopsida; Caryophyllales; Cactaceae. RNAcentral also lists the same sequence under 1 other name.
GUAGAGCAGAGGACUGAAAAUCCUCGUGUCACCAGUUCA